This 460-nucleotide ribosomal RNA is filed under the name uncultured bacterium. Its description in RNAcentral is "partial 16S ribosomal RNA". It matches the Rfam family "Bacterial small subunit ribosomal RNA", at positions 338 to 795 of the family's 1533-position model. The record is from RNAcentral.
CCUACGGGGCGCAGCAGUGAGGUAUAUUGGUCAAUGGGCGCGAGUCUGAACCAGCCAAGUAGCGUGAAGGAUGACUGCCCUAUGGGUUGUAAACUUCUUUUAUAAGGGAAUAAAGUGAUCCACGUGUGGGUUUUUGUAUGUACCUUAUGAAUAAGGAUCGGCUAACUCCGUGCCAGCAGCCGCGGUAAUACGGAGGAUCCGAGCGUUAUCCGGAUUUAUUGGGGUUAAAGGGAGCGUAGAUGGGUUGUUAAGUCAGUUGUGAAAGUUUGCGGCUCAACCGUAAAAUUGCAGUUGAGACUGGCAGUCUUGAGUACAGUAGAGGUAGGCGGAAUUCGUGGUGUAGCGGUGAAAUGCUUAGAUAUCACGAAGAACUCCGAUUGCGAAGGCAGCUCACUGGACUGCAACUGACAUUGAGGCUCGAAAGUGUGGGUAUCAAACAGGAUUAGAUACCCGUGUAGUC